Molecule: non-coding RNA, 1155 nt
Organism: Nicotiana tabacum (common tobacco)
Lineage: Eukaryota; Viridiplantae; Streptophyta; Magnoliopsida; Solanales; Solanaceae
Source: RefSeq, a predicted model, not a curated record
GAGUGAGCUUUCACCUACUUAUCCACCCAAAAUUGAGAAUUUCAGAACAUUCGGGGCCCUUCCAGAAGGCCCAUAGAACUUUCACGUCGGAUUAAAGAGUUGAUCAGAAUUCAGCGUAACAACUAACAACUGUACAAGCUGGGAAAUGGCGGAAAAAGCAGGAAAAAGAGGAGUGAAUCAGAGCAUAGAGAAGGUGUGCAGAAGAUGCAAACAGGCAUACACUCCACCUUCUAACAACCCAAAUUCAUGCCGCUUUCAUCCUUCUUUCUUUGUCUGUCGACGUCAUGACGAUCAGAAAAGGUAUUACGAACUAGGACCAGAUGAUCCUCCUUAUGCUGCCAAAUUUUAUGAUUGCUGUGGAGCAGAAGAUCCUGAAGCAAGUGGUUGUACCACCAGUUUCCAUGUUUCAUAUGAUGAUGAGUAGGAAGAUUCUCAUGGUUUGUUAUGUAAACUUUCUGUAAAGUAGAAGCUGUAUAGAGACAAUCUGCAUUUCAGAACCUGAAAUGAAUUUUGCUCUUUGAUCUGAAAUGGACAAUCUCCACAUUGUCUACGUAUCCUAUACAGAGAAAUGAUAGUUGACGGCUGUCACGUAUAUGUUUUUGAUUUUGGGGAUUAGGUGCAUGAGCCAGCUCAUUGGAGAUUCUACUGCACAAAAUAGUUAUAGUAAUAGCUCAGUUUGAUCUUGUCACAAGUUGCAUAGCUGGAUGUGCAGGAACCAACUACACACAACAUUCUCAAAUUUGUUGGUCCAGCCAUGAAUUGUCCUUCAAAACCAAGUUAAAAGACAUUCACAUAUGCUUAUCCUCCUUUUCAUUAAAUGAAGUUGACAAUUCCCUUGUGGCCGUGGUCACCUAUUUACCAAAAUAAAAAUUGAUCCACCAUAUAAGAUACUAUCUUAUUUUGUUUGCUGGAGUAAAUCUUUAGUACAAAAGAUUUGAAUGGCGACAGCAAUGAUCAAUAGUUGGGAGAAGGAUAACAUGCGCCCCACCAAGUGAAAGGCUAAUUGUGGCGUGGUACACCUUGUCUUAGUCUGUCCCCACGUUUUAGCUUUACCUUUUCUUCUCUAGUUUAUUUUAUGGUCAGUGAUUGUUCACUCUCGAAUCUCUUUAAUAUUUUUUUAUUGAUAAGACAUAACUUGUACGUACUUUAAUUAUA